RNAcentral lists this long non-coding RNA (1066 nucleotides) under Cricetulus griseus (Chinese hamster). RNAcentral's name for it is "lncRNA (ENSCGRG00015007365.2)". The record is from RNAcentral. Lineage: Eukaryota; Metazoa; Chordata; Mammalia; Rodentia; Cricetidae.
GCCCCUCCUGCUUACACGCUUAGUCAUAAUUACUUACCUCAGCGGCACCAGCCGUGUGGUAGGAGCUUAGCUGAACAGAGAGGAGAAUCAGCAGGCACAUCACCUUGAGUUUGACCUGUCAGCCAGAUUUCACAGCACCUGCCUGGUUAGCCCGAGGGCUGUGAUUCACCCCCUCAGGAAAGGAGCUGUGAGGUCCUGUCCUGGAGCAGAAACCCCUCCUGGAGGAUAGUUGGAGAGAUAGUGAUGAAUCAGGCAUCUCUAGCUAUUAGCAUGCCUGCCAUGCUCGCCCCACGUGUGGAAGGCUACCAGGAAGAGGAGAUGGCAGGCUUGUUAAAGGAGAGAAAAAUGAGGGCCUUUUCAUGAGGUCAGGUGACUUCUGAGGUUGGAUCAGCUGGCCAGCAGUAGACAUGUCCAGCUUCCGAAGACAAAAUCACAGAAUUAUGGUGGAGCCCUCCCAUAGGAGGGGCACUAGAGGAUACUCAAGGAAGUUCUUCAGUACCCCUGCAAAGCAUUGACUUGACGGUCGUUGAACACAGUUUUAUUGGCCAGAGGAAAACAAAAAAGAGCCUUGCAUGUGGUGGUAAACUGAGCCCACCGAAGAUAACGUUCCAAGGAGGAACUAAAAGAAGCACUUGGCUCCUGCGGAGCCCCAGCCAGGCACAGCCUUCUGCUAUAUCCCCAGACCUCAGUUCUCCAUGAACUCUCUAUGCCCAGUGCCUUGUAUGCCCAUUUCCUUGAAGGGGUCCUGGAAGACUCUGCGGACACCACAGCCCAGCUAGAUGGAUUGAUUGGGAAUUUCUGGGUAGAAGUCACCUUGGGUUCAAAUGGAUCCUGCCUGCUUGCCAGAACAAAGAGGUAUCAUCUCCCAUGUCCAACUACUACUAGGGAGAAGGCCCUGUCUGGCUGCUCAGGCCAGAGAAAUUCAGCUGAAAUAGACAACAGAGAUCCUCUCGGUCAGAAGUUACAGUUGUUCUCAGAAGUGACUGUUGUCACAUGUUAUUUAUUGGGAUCCAAAGUGAGGUUUCCCUCAGCCACCAUGUCUGCUGCCUGGGUGAAUGAUCUUCCA